This 392-nucleotide ribosomal RNA is filed under the name Dictyocoela berillonum. RNAcentral's name for it is "SSU rRNA". It matches the Rfam family "Microsporidia small subunit ribosomal RNA", at positions 53 to 404 of the family's 1311-position model. Lineage: Eukaryota; Fungi; Microsporidia. The record is from RNAcentral.
UGUGUAAGCGAAGCGUAACGUGGAGCGGUGAAAGGCUCAGUAACGGGCGAGUUAUUUGUUCUCCUGGGACGGACAACACCGGGAAACUGGUGGGAAAACGUCUAAGUUGCGGUUUUUUAAUCGUGGCGUAAACCAUUUGGUGCAGGAGAGUAAGCUGCCAUCCUAUCAGUUAGUAAGUAGGGUAAGGGCCUACUUAGACGAAGACGGGUACGGGGAAUGAGGGUUUGAUUCCGGAGAGGGAGCCUGAGAGACGGCUACCAGGACCAAGGUCAGCAGCAGGCGCGAAAAUUAUCGAAGCCCGCGUAGGGGCGAUAGUGAGGAGACGUGUAUUACGAAGUGUGUGUAAAGAACGCACUAAUAACUGGAGGUCAAGUCUGGUGCCAGCAGCCGCG